CCUACGGGUGGCAGCAGUGAGGAAUAUUGGUCAAUGGCCGGAAGGCUGAACCAGCCAUGCCGCGUGAAGGUCAGUGCCCUAUGGGCGUUAAACUUCUUUUGUGCGGGAGCAAUAAUGGUCACGUGUGGCCAGACGAGAGUACCGUACGAAUAAGCAUUGGCUAACUCCGUGCCAGCAGCCGCGGUAAUACGGGGGAUGCAAGCGUUAUCCGGAUUUAUUGGGGUUAAAGGGUGCGUAGGCUGUGAGGUAAGUCAGCGGUGAAAUGCCCCCGCUCAACGGGGUGAAGUGCCAUUGAUACUGCAUUGCUGGAAUGCGGAUGCCGUGGGAGGAAUGUGUGGUGUAGCGGUGAAAUGCAUAGAUAUCACACAGAACACCGAUUGCGAAGGCAUCUCACGAAUCCGCGAUUGACGCUGAUGCACGAAAGCGUGGGUAUCAAACAGGAUUAGAUACCCCUGUAGUC
RNAcentral lists this ribosomal RNA (460 nucleotides) under uncultured bacterium. RNAcentral describes it as "partial 16S ribosomal RNA". It matches the Rfam family "Bacterial small subunit ribosomal RNA", at positions 338 to 795 of the family's 1533-position model. The record is from RNAcentral.